Non-coding RNA from Podarcis lilfordi (Lilford's wall lizard), 4202 nucleotides. NCBI's taxonomy places the organism in Eukaryota, Metazoa, Chordata, Lepidosauria, Squamata, Lacertidae. The record is from the annotation of a GenBank genome assembly.
GGGUCAGAGACAUUCUCAGGUCUACUGGUGGCAAUCUGCCUGGCUAGCCUGCAUAUAGCACUCAGCUAGAGUGUGCACCUUCUACAACUGCCCCACCCCUCCAAAACAUCCCCCCGAGAGGGUGACUAGGCUUGGAAACUGCCUCCCAUUGGCUUACGGGCCAGAGGUUCCUCACCCCUGCUCUACGCUGUAAAGGAGAUGAAUUUCCCACACUUGCUGUGCUUUGGAUGAGUUCCUGGGACACCAGGAGAAGAUGGAAGAGGCAUUCCUCGGAAGCAGGUGAGUAGCCCUUUCUCUAUGACUGAUAGUUAUCUGUUUGGGGCUGCCAGAUGGAAAUCCAGAGACUUUGCCUAUCAGCUCAAGAGGUCUCGUCAGACCCAUUAAGCAACAUACCAACCACACCAUGUAGUUUGCAGAAUACUCCAGCCAGUCCUUAUAGGAUAAUAGCAGAGAGAAGGGGAAGGACACCUAGGAGGCAUCCAGCCUUGAGCAGAGGAUUCAUGAGGGUUGACCUGCUGGAGCUCGAAUAUUUGCUCUUUAGUUUGUACAUAAUCAAUGGAUCGAAGAGAAAAACCAAACUGCCACAGCUUCUCUGGAUUAGUCUUGCCCCCAUCUCCUUUUAGUCUGUCUCCCCUGCCUCCUGAUUGUGAGGCUUCCCUGAAGUCAUCCUUCUCACAGCAGCCAAAGGAGCCGUCAACAGAAGUGCGGAUGGCAUAAAUCAGCAGGAGAAGCUGUGGCUGCCAACCCCCGGCAGAACUGGAUUCCCAGAUUUGUUUCAAUGAUACUCCAUUGUUUCCCCCCUCCCUCCCUGGUCGUGGUUGCAUCUGGGAAAUGACAAAGAUGGGCUGCCAAUUUCCUGUUAAAUAAUGUUAAAUAUUCCUGUUAAAUAAUGAAAAUAAUAGUCUGGAAAGACCCUCAAACAAAGCUAACAAACAUAAAGGGGGUGCACAGCAAUGUGUGAGUGUUUAUCAGGCUUUCUAGGGGUCCUCGGUGCAUUUCAUGGCAUCCCUGUCACACUUGAUGCAAGCUACUACUUAACAUUCUUCCAAUGUGCUUAAUAGAGAGGUAAAGAGGUCAGCUCUCUCCAAUGGCUGCUUGCAUCUCUAUCCGCAUGAGCCUCCUCUCCCACUAUGGCCUGUAAAUGUGCAGUUAAUCAAGAAACUCUCCAUGCGAUUUGUUUGUGCUGAAGAUGGAAUGAUCUGUUGCUGUGUGCACAGGCUAUGCACCCUCCCCCUCCAUCAUGUGUUGGGUAUGGCAGGGACGGGCAUGAGACAUCCGUCAACUGAGAGGCCUUUUACUGUGAAGAAGAAAGGAACAAGUAUUGGCUGGGUAGGGAGUUUGGUUCUCCAGCCCAGGGAUGUAUUAAAAUAAAUGGCAGAGAACGGCCAUUGGGAUGCAUUGCUUUUAUUUAAUAUGUUCCUUUCAACCCAUAUGAGUCUGGCACCCCUAAACCUAACGGCUCCGACGGCUAUGAUUGGAAAAUCCAUUUAUUCAUUCCAUUGACGGACAGGCACUGACACUUUGGCUGGAGUGAAGCAGUGUUUUAAUUUGGUGCCUUUUGCUGUUGUGCUGCUUUUGGCAACGGCUGCUCACACCCGGCAGCUCCCACCUCUCCCAAGUGCACUGGACCACUUCUGAAAGCUGUGUCUCAGUGAAAGACAACCCACUGAAAAGGAGGACUCAGGAAGACAAUCUUGCAAUUCUUCCUGACUAGCUGCUUUGUGGCCCUGGCUUCAAUUCAAGCUAGGACUGCAAGGGGCAACUCAGGAGCUAAGUGCACUCCCGAUUCUUCUUUUGACAUUUCAGUCACCUGACAUUGCAGGAUGUCAUGUGACUGUCAGGUGGAAUGUUCUGCCCCCUUGCCAAAGUUGCCUUCUUCUGAAUCUGCCCCUUUGGCCAGAUCCAAUCCCCCACUCCUGCCUUAAGGUCCAGCUUUCUCUUCCCCCACCACAGUCUGCAGAAGAUGUCUGGAGAAUUCUUUCUCUUAGUGGUAUCCUUAUUUAUUAUUAUCAUCCCUGAUAAUAUCAUUGUUUGUUGUUGAUUUUAUUUAGAUUUUAUGUAUCUAUUUGCUUGAUUUGGUCUGUUUUUAACACUUUAGUGUUGGAACUUUAUUUUCUACAGGAGUUUAGGAUCCUUGGAUGGGCAGCUGUCUAUAAAUGAUUUCAGCUCACUGACGCUUAAUAUUACUCUCCUGUUCCAUUCAGUUCUCAUGGGUGCAGCUGCAGAGCAACGUAACUGAAUAAGGGAAGGGCCUAAGCUCAUUGGCAGAGACCAGGGGUUGUGCACAAAAUGUCCCAGAUUCAACCCUAGACAUUUCCGGCUGGAGCUGGAGAUUUGUUGCCAGUAAACUAGGGAGAUGGAACGAUGGUCUGACUCGGUAUAAGGCAACUUCCCGUGUUCUAAAAUUCUGGUUUUGGUGGGAGAGUUCAUGGCAGGUCUUGCUGAGCAAGCUUUGGAGAAGCUCUUGAAGCAUAAAGCCCAAAGUAUGUACCCUCUCUGAGAUACUCCUCUGUAACGGACAGGAGUGUGGAGUUCGGUGGACCAAGAGGCUUUGUUUGGUUUGGUUGCUUUCUGAUUUCUGCAGCUGCGAUCAAAGCUCGGUGUUGUUGGGAGAUCUAAUCCUCCCCCUCUAAUCCUCCAGCCUUGUAUGCUCAGGCCUGACACUUGGUCCAGCAGCAGAAGGUAAUGGGUCUGGAGGGCUGGUUAAUCAUUCCAAAACAUGCUAAGCGUGAGCAAUCAGCACAGGCUUCCCCCAGCUUAUCGCUAUUGCUAAAGUGUUGAAGGAAAAGCAACGGGGCAGGGGGAGCUCCCUGCUUCCUGUUAGUUUUUGAAGUUGCUAUCUAAAAGUCCUCCAUUAGGAAUCCAUAAAAACAGAGUUUUUGCAAGGCCGUUUGCAAAACGGGUUGGUUUUAUUAACUGGUUGGCAAAGGUCUUCCUGCAGGGAAUAGGGGAAAGAAAUAUCAAUAAUCUUUAAUGAUUGUAAAUGCUCAUUGCACUUUACAGAUAAUGUGAAGGGGGAAGAACAGAGAGGUCCUUUCUCCAAACAGCACUCAAUCUAAACUCAGGGUGGGAGAAGAGAUCAUGUCCACACCAUACAUUCAAUGCAUAUUUAAACUACAUGGCUUCUCCCCAAGAGUCCUGGCAACUGUAGUUUGUUAAGGGUGCAAUAGCCCUGUGGGGGGUGAACUACAAUUCCUACAAUGCUUUGGGGGGGGAAUAAGUACUUUAAAUGUGCAUUGAAUAUGCGUUAAAUGUAUAGUGAGAAUGGGGCCAGAAAAGGAAGAAGAAGGGAAGGCCAAUGUAAAAAGGGAGAGGAAGGGAAGGCAAAGGGUCCUCCCCUUCCUCAUUCAGUCCCCACAACGACCCCUUGAGGUGGGUUUUAGUCAUAUAUACGUUGGGCCUGUACAUCCUCCCAGUAGCACUAGCUUCCUCUGUACCUGAGAUCAAUGGUCCUGUUUAUUACAGUGUUUUGUUGCUCCUGCCCUGCUGCCUGUGCACAAGGAAUUAUGGGCCUGGUAAUUCUUGAGAGGAAAUGUCAUACAGUGGUACCUCUGGAUACAAAUGGGAUCUGUUCCGGAGCCCCAUUCGCAUCCUGAAGUGAACGCAACCCGUGUCUGCACGUGCGCGGGUCGCGAUUUGCCACUUCUGCACAUGCGCGUGAUGUCUUUUCGACUGUCUGCGCAUGUGCGAGCGACGAAACCCAGAAGUAACACGUUCCACGGAGCACAACCCGAAAGCGCUCAACCUGAAGCAACUUCAACCUGAGGUAUGACUGUAUAGGGAAGCACAAGUAUUGCUUGUUCUCAAAUUCACACUCUUUUUCAAAUGUACAAGGUGUACAGCCUCCAACAUUCCUCAGAUGAAAAUAGGGGCAUUGCUCACUCCCCGCCAACUGGCCCUUCUGUACCCCCCCCUUUUUGGGUCUUCUCCUGCAGAGCGUUUCCUAUCAGAAGAAGGGCAAGGGCCACCACUGCGGCACCAGCAGGACACAGCACACACAGCAGCAGCAGCAGCAUCAUAUUAUAAUAAUUUAUUAUUUAUACCCCACCCAUCUGGCUGGGUUUCCCCAGUCAUUCUGGGUGGCUCCCAACAGAAUAUAAAAAAUACAAUAACCCUCCACUGUCCUGAGACAACCCCUUAAUCCUGAUUAUAUUUUAUUUUAUUCUUUGGUAGAUUUACAAAAAGAAAACACACACAGAGAG